UCGAGCCGAUAACAUUGCACAGCUCACUUAUGACAUAUUAAAUACAACGGACGAGGCAUUAAUUAUACUCUGUAUGGAAUAAUUUUCUCAGAGCAUCGACUUCUUCGGUUCGCCAUUAUUUAAUUGACGAUACUAAGCUUCCGUCGAUAAAUGCAGUGAUAUCGUCGUUCGGUUUCGUGCGACCAGGUGUCGGUAUGGCGCACGUAACGUUGCACGUGUUACGUUCUUGCCGUUUAAACGGGCUUACAGUUCCGCUCGGCUUAAGUGCUGUUCGACGUCCUGUUAAUGCUCAGUGGUGUUCCUCGAUCCGUAGAAACCUAGGAACGACGAUGUCAUACUCAACUAUCGAACGAGGGGCCCCUAAUUCUACGGAUUAUAGGAUGUAUUUCAGAAAUGAUAUUUGCCCCAUCUCUCCCAUGCACGAUAUUCCCUUAUAUGCUGAUGAAGCAAAUAAAAUAUUUCACAUGAUCGUCGAAGUACCACGAUGGACAAAUGCUAAAAUGGAAAUCAAUCUUAAAGAGACAUUGAAUCCUAUUAAGCAGGAUGUUAAGAAGGGUAAACUGCGAUUUGUUGCUAAUUGUUUUCCUCACCAUGGGUAUAUAUGGAACUAUGGAGCACUUCCUCAGACAUGGGAAAAUCCUGAAGUUUUAGAUGAAGCAACAGGCUGUAAAGGAGAUAAUGACCCAAUAGAUGUCCUUGAAAUAGGCUAUAAAGUUGCAAAACGGGGAGAAGUGCUGAAAGUUAAAGUCCUUGGUGCGAUUGCCCUACUUGAUGAAGGGGAAACUGACUGGAAAAUUAUCGCUGUAGAUAUAAAUGAUCCAUUAGCUGAACAAAUGAAUAGUGUCGCUGAUGUCGAAAAACACUAUCCCGGUUUAAUGAAAGCAACCAUAGAAUGGUUUAAAAUCUACAAAAUACCGGACGGUAAACCAGAAAAUCAAUUUGCUUUCAAUGGAGAGGCAAAAUCGAAGGAAUUCGCCCUGAAAAUUAUCGAUGACGUUCACCGGCAUUGGUCGAGUCUUAUCAAAAGGGACGCACCGGCAGGAAAUAUCGCUUGUACGAAUGUAACUGUCGACGGAAGUCCUUUUAAAAUAACUCCAACCGCAGCCGAGGAAGUGGUGGAAAAAGCGCCAGAACGAGUGGAGCCUCACCCCGUUGAACCCAUCGCUGGCUACGUUUUCGUGAACUGUAAAUAUUGAAGUUUCCAAGCUAACGGGACGCUUAAUGGAGCUAGCCAUUCCGAAGUGCAACACGUGAAAUAUUUGAUCGAUAAGUGGCACUACGUUCAUCUGAAAUAAUAUGGAAAAAGCGGAUAGCGUAAAAUUUCGCCGAUGGAUCCGCAACCUAUAGCUAUCCACUGGCGCAAAACAGAAUCGAUGUGAUUUGUCCUAGUCGAUGGGACCGGCUGCUUCGAUACGGAUUCGGUAAACGUCAUCAGAGAAAAAAGAUUUUCUUACACGCAACGUUAUACUCGGUAUCACUGAAAGAAAUGGAUGUAAUUAGAAUUGCACGAAUAAAGUACACUCUUUGAUUAA
Orussus abietinus is the source of this 1532-nucleotide RNA transcript. It is a transcript of the gene named inorganic pyrophosphatase, with no coding region annotated. The record is from RefSeq and is a predicted model, not a curated record. The transcript is spliced from 9 exons. NCBI's taxonomy places the organism in Eukaryota, Metazoa, Arthropoda, Insecta, Hymenoptera, Orussidae.